AUAAGCGUUGAAAAGCUUCUGGAUGAGCCGAGUGUAGGAGUGAAAGGCCAAUCAAACUUGGAGAUAGCUCGUACUCCCCGAAAGGCAUUUAGGUGCCGCGUCGGAUGGUCACCGUGAGAGGUAGAGCGACCGAUAGGACAAGAGGGCUUCACCGCCUAUCGAGUCCUGACGAACUCCGAAUGCUCACGGUCUGCAGUCCGGCAGUAAGGGGGCGGGUGCUAAGGUCCGUCCCCGAGAGGAGAAGAAUCCAGACCGCCGUCUAAGGUCCCGGAGUUCUGCCUGAGUUAGUCUAACGAAGUCUGGUCCCUAUGACAGCUAGGAUGUUGGCUUGGAAGCAGCCAUUCAUUCAAAGAGUGCGUAACAGCUCACUAGUCGAGGGUCCGGGCAUGGAUAAUAAUCGGGUAUAAGGCAGACACCGAAGGCGCGGGAUAGCAUUUAAGAAAGUAUCGGUAGGGGAGCAUACUCACAGCGUCGAAUGGUGUACGUAAGUUAUCCUGGAGCGGUGAGUAAAGCAAAUGUAGGAAUAAGUAACGAUAAGGAGGGUUAGAUUCCCUCCCGCUGUAAGACCAAGGUUUCCCGGGCAAUGCCAAUCAGCCCGGGGUCAGUCGGGUCCUAAGUCUAAGCCGAACGGCGAUGGCGAUGGCAGAGACGGUUAAUAUUCCGUCACUGCCGCAUGGGGCGACGUGGAGACGGAGCAGUGAAACCACCGCGGGGCGACGGAAGUCCCCGUUGAAGAGUGUAGGCGUUGAGGAUGGCAGGCAAAUCCACCAUCCGAGCUGAACUUGACAGUAUGGAGUCUUCUUCGGAAGAAUCCAAUAGUGUGGGUAAUCAUACUCCCGAGAAAAUCCGCUAAGCUUAACCCAUGCGGCACCCGUACCGCAAACGGACACACGUGGUCGGGUAGAACAUACUAAGGCGUUGAGAGAUUCAUGGUUAAGGAACUAGGCAAAUUGACCCUGUAACUUCGGGAUAAAGGGUCCUCGUGAAGAGCGAGGCGCAGAGAAUAGGUCCAGGCAACUGUUUAACAAAAACACAGGGCUGUGCAAACUCGAAAGAUGACGUAUACAGCCUGACACCUGCCCGGUGCCGGAAGGUUAAGAGGAGAUGUCACCAGCAAUGGGAAGCAUUGAAUUGAAGCCCCGGUAAACGGCGGCCGUAACUAUAACGGUCCUAAGGUAGCGAAAUUCCUUGUCGGGUAAGUUCCGACCUGCACGAAUGGUGUAAUGAUCCGGACGCUGUCUCAACCAUGAGCUCAGUGAAAUUGUAGUAUCGGUGAAGAUGCCGAUUACCCGCGAUGGGACGAAAAGACCCCGUGAACCUUUACUACAGCUUAGCAUUGACCUUGGUCAUCCGAUGUGUAGGAUAGGCCGGAGGCUUCGAAGCGGGAGCGCCAGCUUUCGUGGAGCCAUCCUUGAAAUACGGCCCUUUGGCUGUCUGAGGUCUAACGCGUGAUACGCGGACACUGCUUGGUGGGUAGUUUGACUGGGGUGGUCGCCUCCAAAAGCGUAACGGAGGCUUCCAAAGGUGCCCUCGGGUCGAUUGGUAACCGACCUCAAAGAGUGCAAUGGCAUAAGGGCGCUUGACUGGGAGGCAGACAUGCCGAGCAGGCAGGAAACUGGGGCAUAGUGAUCCGGCGGAUGUGUAUGGAAACUCCGUCGCUCAAAGGAUAAAAGGUACUCCGGGGAUAACAGGCUGAUCCCCCCCAAGAGCUCAUAUCGACGGGGUGGUUUGGCACCUCGAUGUCGGCUCGUCACAUCCUGGGGCUGGAGAAGGUCCCA
Molecule: ribosomal RNA, 1778 nt
Filed under: human gut metagenome
Description: bacterial LSU rRNA
Rfam family: Bacterial large subunit ribosomal RNA
Source: RNAcentral